RNAcentral lists this ribosomal RNA (452 nucleotides) under uncultured organism. Its description in RNAcentral is "bacterial SSU rRNA". It matches the Rfam family "Bacterial small subunit ribosomal RNA", at positions 28 to 507 of the family's 1533-position model. The record is from RNAcentral.
GACGAACGCUGGCGGCGUGCCUAAAACAUGCAAGUCGAACGAGAUCUUCGGAUCUAGUGGCGAACGGCGGAGUAAUACAUAAGUAACCUGCCCUGAAGACGGGGAUAUACAGCGGAAACGCUGGGCAAUACCCGAUGUGACUCUUGGAUGGCAUCAUCCGAGAAUUAAACGGUUUUUCGCUUCAGGAGGGGCUUAUGACGCAUCAGUUUGUUGGUGGGGUAAUGGCCUACCAAGACUACGACGCGUAGGGGGUCUGAGAGGAUGAUCCCCCCGAGUGGGACUGAGACACGGCCCACACACCUACGGGUGGCAGCAGUUGGGAAUCUUGCACAAUGGGGGAAACCCUGAUGCAGCGACGCCGCGUGGAGGAUGACGGCCCUAGGGUUGUAAACUCCUUUUUCAGGGAAAGACUUAGGACGGUACCCUGAGAAUAAGCUCCGGCUAACUACGUG